Long non-coding RNA from Anopheles coluzzii, 1710 nucleotides. RefSeq lists it as uncharacterized. The transcript has 2 exons. The record is from RefSeq and is a predicted model, not a curated record. NCBI's taxonomy places the organism in Eukaryota, Metazoa, Arthropoda, Insecta, Diptera, Culicidae.
ACAAUAUUGAUCAAGUGCGAUCAUCUUCGCUCGGUGUGGAAUACAUUUUGAUUAGGCAUGGGCAAAACGAUUCUUUUCACCGAACGCGAACGAACUAGUUCGCUCACCAAAAAGAACCGUACGCGAACGACGAUUCUUUCGUUCUUUGUUUCAUGAGGUUUUUAUUCACAAAGAACGCUCGUUAUCUUUUUCAUUUACUCACCAUAGACGCAUACUGUAGCCAAAGAAGUACUCAUUCUGCGGUUGAAACCAAUAAUUUAAAAACAUUAAACACUCGGCUGUCUGGUCAACACAAUCCAUCGCAAAACCGACCAAAAACUAGCAUGUAAAAAACUAAUACGAGCAAAAAUAUCUCCUGCAUAUAUUGUACCCCAUGCCUUAUACACACUUAAGAAUUCUAUUAAAAAAAACUACUUAAAUAUGGAUCAACAUGAUGAGCGCAAUCAAUUCAGUUCAGUUCAUUCGCGAACAAUGACUAAUCCGUUUGAACGGGCUCGAUCUAUUGAAUUGUAUAGGUAUAAUUUCCAUACCAACAGAACACAGAUCGAACACCAGUUCGAACGCGUUCGAUGAAUUCAGUUGUGUAGGUACGAUUUACACACCAACAGAACACAGAUCGAACACCAGUUCGAACGCGUUCGAUGAAUUCAGUUGUGUAGGUACGAUUUAUACACCAACAGAACACAGAUCGAACACCAGUUCGAACGCGUUCGAUGAAUUCAGUUGUGUAGGUACGAUUUAUACACCAACAGAACACAGAUCGAACACCCGUUCGAACGCGUUCGAUGAAUUCAGUCGUAUAGAUACGAUUUCCACACCAACAGCACACGUAUCGAACACUGCUGGACAAAUUCGACGGCGUUCGAGGAAUUGAGUUGUAUGGGUACGAUUUCAACACCAACAGGGUACAUUUUGAUCUCUGACGACCCGUUCGCACGGUGCGAGAAAGAGCGAGAAAGCAAUAUGAUUUUGUACGUUUUAUUACCACAUUUAUGUGUGCCGUCGAACACUGAACGGAACGUUCGAACGCGUUCGGUGUAGUCAGUUUCUUCCAAAAGUCCUGGUCGUUCUUUUUGUUAAGAACUUCGUUCGUUCGUGCACUUUACCGAACUGUUCGAACGGUGCGAUUCUCGUUCAUUUUACACAUGCCUAAUUUUGAUUAUUGCUUGAGGGCUCAAUCUUUUUCAAGUUUAAUGGUAAGAACGCGAUGGAACAUAAUUAAAUAAUUUGAUUUUUCUUUUCAAUUUAGUUAAUAUUAAUUGAGAUAAGUCUGAUACAAGCCACAGAUCUGUAAGUCAACAUUAUCAAAAUCUCUCCCUUAAAUUUCAAAAAAGCUUAAAAAAAACUAAAAAAGCAACCAUCCAACAUUGUAUAACAAUUCCCUUUCGCCGUCGUGCUGGCUCUAAUCUCACGCUUGAUUUAUGAUCUCCAUUCUUCACCGAAAAAAUAAUCGUUCCAUCCGCGAAUAGCCGUGCAAACGACGGGUUGGAUUGCGUGUUUUAGUUAGGCUGCCUUUUUUUUAUUUAUUUUUUUGUUGUUGACCACCGGCCUUCGAACGACAUUAUUAUUAUUAUCAUUGUGAGCUGAAGCAGCAUGCCGGGUACGGUUGCCAGUACCGUUUGUUGGGGGGGCUUUCGGUUUUGAUUCCUUAAAUCACCACCGAGGGUGAACUCUAUUGUUCUAUUUGGUGGAUUUACGUGCUGUGGUGGC